AGCAGCGUGGCUUAGUGGAAAGAGCACAGACUUAGGAGUCAGAGAUUGGGGUUCGAAUCCCGGCUCUGCCA
RNAcentral lists this transfer RNA (71 nucleotides) under Ornithorhynchus anatinus (platypus). It matches the Rfam family "tRNA". From Rfam's summary of the family: Transfer RNA (tRNA) molecules are approximately 80 nucleotides in length. Their secondary structure includes four short double-helical elements and three loops (D, anti-codon, and T loops). Lineage: Eukaryota; Metazoa; Chordata; Mammalia; Monotremata; Ornithorhynchidae. The record is from Rfam by way of RNAcentral.